Molecule: small nucleolar RNA, 93 nt
Organism: Cervus hanglu yarkandensis (Yarkand deer)
Lineage: Eukaryota; Metazoa; Chordata; Mammalia; Artiodactyla; Cervidae
Gene: SNORD116
Rfam family: Small nucleolar RNA SNORD116
About the family: HBII-85 is a member of the C/D class of snoRNAs, which contain the C (UGAUGA) and D (CUGA) box motifs. HBII-85 is encoded in a tandemly repeated array with another C/D snoRNA, HBII-52, in the Prader-Willi syndrome (PWS) region of chromosome 15.
Source: Ensembl
AGAUCAAUGAUGACAUCCUCACUUGCAUUCCUUGGAAAAUCUGAACAAAGUGAGUGAGAACUCACUACCGUCUCCUCAUUGAAACUGAGGUCC